Molecule: ribosomal RNA, 751 nt
Filed under: Serratia marcescens
Lineage: Bacteria; Pseudomonadati; Pseudomonadota; Gammaproteobacteria; Enterobacterales; Yersiniaceae
Description: bacterial SSU rRNA
Rfam family: Bacterial small subunit ribosomal RNA
Source: RNAcentral
ACGCUGGCGGCAGGCUUAACACAUGCAAGUCGAGCGGUAGCACAGGGGAGCUUGCUCCCUGGGUGACGAGCGGCGGACGGGUGAGUAAUGUCUGGGAAACUGCCUGAUGGAGGGGGAUAACUACUGGAAACGGUAGCUAAUACCGCAUAACGUCGCAAGACCAAAGAGGGGGACCUUCGGGCCUCUUGCCAUCAGAUGUGCCCAGAUGGGAUUAGCUAGUAGGUGGGGUAAUGGCUCACCUAGGCGACGAUCCCUAGCUGGUCUGAGAGGAUGACCAGCCACACUGGAACUGAGACACGGUCCAGACUCCUACGGGAGGCAGCAGUGGGGAAUAUUGCACAAUGGGCGCAAGCCUGAUGCAGCCAUGCCGCGUGUGUGAAGAAGGCCUUCGGGUUGUAAAGCACUUUCAGCGAGGAGGAAGGUGGUGAGCUUAAUACGCUCAUCAAUUGACGUUACUCGCAGAAGAAGCACCGGCUAACUCCGUGCCAGCAGCCGCGGUAAUACGGAGGGUGCAAGCGUUAAUCGGAAUUACUGGGCGUAAAGCGCACGCAGGCGGUUUGUUAAGUCAGAUGUGAAAUCCCCGGGCUCAACCUGGGAACUGCAUUUGAAACUGGCAAGCUAGAGUCUCGUAGAGGGGGGUAGAAUUCCAGGUGUAGCGGUGAAAUGCGUAGAGAUCUGGAGGAAUACCGGUGGCGAAGGCGGCCCCCUGGACGAAGACUGACGCUCAGGUGCGAAAGCGUGGGGAGCAAAC